This 462-nucleotide ribosomal RNA is filed under the name uncultured bacterium. RNAcentral describes it as "bacterial SSU rRNA". It matches the Rfam family "Bacterial small subunit ribosomal RNA", at positions 917 to 1382 of the family's 1533-position model. The record is from RNAcentral.
GGGCCCGCACAAGCAGUGGAGUAUGUGGAUUAAUUCGAGGCAACGCGAAGAACCUUACCAGGGCUUGACAUCUCCUGCAGACACAAGAGAUUGUGUUGUCCCUUCGGGGCAGGAAGACAGGUGGUGCAUGGUUGUCGUCAGCUCGUGUCGUGAGAUGUUCGGUUAAGUCCGGCAACGAGCGCAACCCCUGUGGCCAGUUGCCAUCAUUCAGUUGGGCACUCUGGCAAGACCGCCGUUAACAAAACGGAGGAAGGUGGGGAUGACGUCAAAUCAUCAUGCCCCUUAUGUCCUGGGCUUCACACGUACUACAAUGGUAACAACAGAGGGCUGCCACACCGCGAGGUGGAGCGAAUCCCAAAAUGUUAUCUCAGUUCGGAUUGCAGGCUGAAACUCGCCUGCAUGAAGCAGGAAUUGCUAGUAAUGGCAGGUCAGCAUACUGCCGUGAAUACGUUCCCGGGCCUU